Molecule: RNA transcript, 2051 nt
Organism: Neltuma alba
Lineage: Eukaryota; Viridiplantae; Streptophyta; Magnoliopsida; Fabales; Fabaceae
Gene name: probable steroid-binding protein 3
Exons: 8
Source: RefSeq, a predicted model, not a curated record
UGCCUUUCUCUCCACUCACGGCCUCGCCGAAUGUCAACCGUCAAAGCGCUAGUGGGUUGGUGGGAGAAAUUAGGUGUCGUCGGUCCUUUCUUCCUCCCACCCGCCACUAUCUGCGAGAACCCGGGAAUUCUCGUAUCUUCUUCUCCAUUGUGAGCUUCGAUUCCGAUAUCCCAUGUAUCCCGUGCCCAAACACUCCUUCGCACAUAGUGACCUUAAGCUUUAGCUAUUCGACAAAUGGGUGUGCACUCGACAGUAAUGGAGGCGAUAACGUGGUACACAGGCCUAUCCCCCACGGCCUUCUUCACCAUUCUGGUUAUGAUGGUUAUGGUCUACCGAAUAGUCUGCGGAAUGUUUGUUUCUCCUGAAGACUACAAUAGGCCUCCUACCAUUACCGCUCCAAACAAUCUUGGGUUGGAUGGCCUGAACGUCGACGCUCCUGAGGCGGUUCAAUUGGGAGAGAUGACUGAGCAGGAAUUGCGAAUCUUUAAUGGCUCCGACCCCAGUAAACCAAUCUUAGUGUCAAUCAGAGGCCAGAUCUACGAUGUCUCUGCCGGCAGGAAUUUUUAUGGUCCUGGUGGACCGUAUGCUAUGUUUGCCGGAAAAGAAUGCAGCAGAGCCCUUGCCCUCCUUUCUUUUAAACCUGAGGAUAUCAAUGGGAAUCUUGAAGGUCUGAGUGAGGAAGAACUUGUAAUUUUGGAGGACUGGGAGUAUAAAUUCAUUGAAAAAUAUGUGAAGGUUGGUCAGCUUGUUCCUGAACAAAGCACCCAGCAAAAUGAGUGCCGGGGAGAAAUCAAAGACAAACCUGCUGAUGAAUGCAAGUGAGCAGAAUAAAAACCAUCUCGACAUGAUGGGGCUUCCAUUCAGUUCAUUCAGCUGACUCUUGUAGAACGUGACUGGUGCCUUUUGUAUAGCUUUUGUUGGGUAAAUGACGGAAGGAUUAUUGUUUUUUUGGAGACUGGGUGUUGGCUUUGAACGCUGAGAUAUAUUAAAUCCAUUCAUGUAGAUCCCACUCAUUAUAUUUAUUUCUCUGCACUGCAAAGUCUUCUACAGGAAUUGGGAGAAUCAAUUUCUGGAUGUAAAUUCUCGUAAAAACUUAACUAUAAGUGGAUUUAGAUUCCUUGUGCCCAUGGUGGGAGGAAGCUAUGCAGUAUGCACAGACAGAGCAGGGAGAUGAUCAUAGACGGGAUUGGGCUCAUUGUGGGCUGUGGCAUGUGAGAUAAUGAAUAAGUGUCUAUGAAAGCAGUGGGGCAAAGAAAAAUGACAAUACUACUGAUUCUAGCAAGCCAGUGGCCGACAAGCACAAUGUUGAAACCGCGGAAAUGUUGGUGAAUGAGGCUCGGGUUUGUCCCAUUUUCAAGUUCAAAUUUCGUGUCUCUGUUACAACACUUUCACCCCCUGUGUGAAGAAAGGAUCAGUCACUCAUCGUGUUUCUCUAUUCAGCAUUUACCAAUCGCGGAGGCGACACCUAUAUACGAGCAACUUCUCACCUUGUUUCCGACAGCUGAGAUAUUACAUCCGUCUCAUUAGAAAGGUUAAUGACAAGAAAGGGGUAGAGGGUCGAGAAGAGACUAGAAAAGCUUUUGAUUUUAUGUUCAACUACACUGAGGCCAACGUGAGAGAAUUAAUUGAUCUAAACUUGGUCGAGAUUUAGUGAGGGGCUUCUGCGAAACUGGAUGUCCUAAAGUUUACUGGCCUAGAAUGUCUUGGCAAUUAGCAUAAGCAGACAUAGAAUCUGGCCCUGUAUGGAUGGAGUACAUAGCCUUUUCAAAGGGUAGAGGCUCUCCCUGGUCUGGAAAAAGUUCACCCAGUUUGAGCAAAGUUACGGAGACCUUGCGAGCAUGUUGAUGGUGAGCACAUUAGCUUUUGGGUUGAAGAAAGAAGAAAAGAAGCACUCUCUGGACCAGGUGAAGAUGGAACAUCAGCAGUAGAGAGCUCUCUGCGGGAUGUUGUAUCACGGUAUGGUUUCAUGGAGCUUUGGCCACGCUCCUCUAAGGAUCUUGAUCAUUUAGCUCGGGAGGAGGUACUAGCUAUUUUUAUUUUAUUUUUUAAAA